This 224-nucleotide ribosomal RNA is filed under the name uncultured Acinetobacter sp. Its description in RNAcentral is "partial 16S ribosomal RNA". It matches the Rfam family "Bacterial small subunit ribosomal RNA", at positions 568 to 792 of the family's 1533-position model. Lineage: Bacteria; Pseudomonadati; Pseudomonadota; Gammaproteobacteria; Moraxellales; Moraxellaceae. The record is from RNAcentral.
UGCGUAGGCGGCUUUUUAAGUCGGAUGUGAAAUCCCUGAGCUUAACUUAGGAAUUGCAUUCGAUACUGGAAAGCUAGAGUAUGGGAGAGGAUGGUAGAAUUCCAGGUGUAGCGGUGAAAUGCGUAGAGAUCUGGAGGAAUACCGAUGGCGAAGGCAGCCAUCUGGCCUAAUACUGACGCUGAGGUACGAAAGCAUGGGGAGCAAACAGGAUUAGAUACCCGGUA